This 69-nucleotide transfer RNA is filed under the name Eurypharynx pelecanoides (pelican eel). RNAcentral's name for it is "tRNA-Thr". It matches the Rfam family "tRNA". From Rfam's summary of the family: Transfer RNA (tRNA) molecules are approximately 80 nucleotides in length. The record is from RNAcentral. Lineage: Eukaryota; Metazoa; Chordata; Actinopteri; Anguilliformes; Eurypharyngidae.
GCACUAGUAGCUUAUGUAAAGCCUUGGUCUUGUAAACCAAAAGAUGAAGAUUCACCUCUUCCUAGGGCA